Molecule: long non-coding RNA, 414 nt
Organism: Lolium rigidum
Lineage: Eukaryota; Viridiplantae; Streptophyta; Magnoliopsida; Poales; Poaceae
Exons: 3
Source: RefSeq, a predicted model, not a curated record
UUUACAGUGACCUGACCCUAUGUUUAACUUCUCUGCAGUAACCCAACGAGGCCUGCUGCUGAUGGCUCGUGUCCACCGGGCGCCCGUCCCGCUGCUCGCCCCCAUGGUCGGACAACCAGGCUUCUGGUGGGUUGGAGGCGUGCCGCAAGAAAUCAGUAGGUGAUGUCUUGGCCUUGGCUCUGAUAAUUGUAUUAACAGGAACAACAUGAGUGCAUCUCCUGAUCAAUGGGAUAACCGCAUGGUUGAUCACUUGAAGAACUUUGACCUUAGCAUUCAACGCAGCAGUUCGGCGACAACGUCGGAGCUCUGGUACAUGUGUUGGAGGCUCUAACUUGGUCGCUCGACUUAACCAAGGCGACGAGGACUGAGUUCCAGGACGGCGUCCCCUCGUCUCGCGUUCCUCUUACAGCUUCC